GUGUCAAUUAUCGAGUAAAAUUUCGUCCGCUUAUCGAACAAAAGCUCGAUGAUAAAUUAAUGGGGGCGGGGGCGAUUCUUCAGUUCCAUCCAUCGACGUGGCUAUAAACAAUGAUAAUUUGACUCAUUUGUCGGGCGUAUAUCGCUAUGAAUUUUUGGAAUAGUUUGCACGCGUCGAAGUCGCAGAGGCUCGUCCAACACGAAUCGAAAGAAGAAGAAGAAGAAACAGAGGCAGAGGCGGAGAAGACACUUGUAUCUGCGUAUUAUAUCUGACAUUAUAUCUACAAUCUACAAAUCUACAAAUACACGAAACAAGUUUAAAGUCCAGCAACAACAACAGCAAAAAGUAAAGCCAAAAACUAAAAGAGAAUUAAAACAAAAAUUUUAAUGU
Long non-coding RNA from Drosophila albomicans, 390 nucleotides. RefSeq lists it as uncharacterized. The transcript has 2 exons. NCBI's taxonomy places the organism in Eukaryota, Metazoa, Arthropoda, Insecta, Diptera, Drosophilidae. The record is from RefSeq and is a predicted model, not a curated record.